UACAGAGACUGCAAGCGUUAUUCGGAUUCACUGGGCGUAAAGGGUGCGCAGGCGGCCAAGUGUGUUAGGCGUGAAAGCCCGGGGCUUAACCCCGGAAUUGCACCUAAAACUACAUGGCUAGAGCAUUGGAGAGGGUAGCAGAAUUCACGGUGUAGCAGUGAAAUGCGUAGAUAUCGUGAGGAAUACCAGAGGCGAAGGCGGCUACCUGGACAAUUGCUGACGCUCAGGCACGAAAGCGUGGGGAGCAAAAGGG
RNAcentral lists this ribosomal RNA (253 nucleotides) under uncultured bacterium. Its description in RNAcentral is "partial 16S ribosomal RNA". It matches the Rfam family "Bacterial small subunit ribosomal RNA", at positions 524 to 776 of the family's 1533-position model. The record is from RNAcentral.